UUUAGGCAAACAUCACGUUUAGGAUCGAGAAGCUGCAUUCACUUCUGACAUUUCUCUAUGUUUCUCUGUGAGAACUCACAGGACACCUGAUUCUGUAUGAGAAAUCUGCAUCUAAGCCUGUGUUACAGUAUCUGUCCAACAUGAGAAAACACAGAGCGCUGAUGUGUGUGGCCUGCAGAUUCGAGUCCUCACGUCGGGGCGGGGAUCCAGGACAUCUGCUGAAGCUGACUAGUUCUGGGAGGUCAAAGUG
Cyprinus carpio carpio is the source of this 250-nucleotide long non-coding RNA. NCBI's taxonomy places the organism in Eukaryota, Metazoa, Chordata, Actinopteri, Cypriniformes, Cyprinidae. The record is from Ensembl.